GGUCAAGGGGUUAAGACACCGCCUUUUCACGGCGGUAACACGGGUUCGAAUCCCGUA
RNAcentral lists this transfer RNA (57 nucleotides) under Streptococcus agalactiae. RNAcentral's name for it is "tRNA-Glu". It matches the Rfam family "tRNA", at positions 9 to 63 of the family's 71-position model. Rfam says of the family: Transfer RNA (tRNA) molecules are approximately 80 nucleotides in length. Their secondary structure includes four short double-helical elements and three loops (D, anti-codon, and T loops). Lineage: Bacteria; Bacillati; Bacillota; Bacilli; Lactobacillales; Streptococcaceae. The record is from RNAcentral. RNAcentral also lists the same sequence under 4 other names.